AGGCAGCCCUUUUUUCUGAUUACAAUGGCAAUGGAGGUGUUGCAUUGCUCGGAGAGUGAAUCUUCUGCUCUUCAGAUUAGCCGAGGUGGAUGUUCCGGCUUCCCUCCGUGAAGCUAGUCUAGUAGUCUUAAGAACAUU
Molecule: non-coding RNA, 138 nt
Organism: Triticum aestivum (bread wheat)
Lineage: Eukaryota; Viridiplantae; Streptophyta; Magnoliopsida; Poales; Poaceae
Source: Rfam